Molecule: ribosomal RNA, 253 nt
Filed under: uncultured bacterium
Lineage: Bacteria
Description: partial 16S ribosomal RNA
Rfam family: Bacterial small subunit ribosomal RNA
Source: RNAcentral
GAGUAGAGCGGCGAACGGGUGAGUAACGCGUGAGGAUCUCCCCUUCAGUGAAGGAUACCCUUGAGAAAUUAAGGUUAAUACUGCAUACGUCCUCCAUUAACAUGGAGGAGAAAGAUGGCCUCUUGCUGUCGCUGAAAGAUGAACUUGCGUUCUAUUAGCUAGUUGGUGGGGUAAAGGCUCACCAAGGCGAUGAUGGAUAGCCGGCCUGAGAGGGUGAUCGGCCACAUUGGAACUGAGAUACGGUCCAGACUCC